CCCUGACAAAGCUAAACCCACCGUGAGAUGGGGACGGAAAGCCGCGGAUCUUAUAAUUUACGAUUUGAGAUUGAAGAUUGUGAACAUCCGCAAUCUACAAUCUAAAAUCCCAAGACAGCCGGGUCGCCUGG
Molecule: non-coding RNA, 131 nt
Filed under: Candidatus Vecturithrix granuli
Lineage: Bacteria; Candidatus Moduliflexota; Candidatus Vecturitrichia; Candidatus Vecturitrichales; Candidatus Vecturitrichaceae
Description: Bacterium UASB270 c-di-GMP sequence
Rfam family: c-di-GMP-I riboswitch aptamer
About the family: GEMM was predicted in a large-scale screen for bacterial structured RNA regulatory elements. Genes associated with GEMM are involved in a diverse array of functions, including chemotaxis regulation, signal transduction, secretion and chitin.
Source: Rfam by way of RNAcentral